AUUGAACGCUGGCGGCAGGCCUAACACAUGCAAGUCGGGCGAGCGGCGGACGGGUGAGUAAUGUGUGGGGACGGCCCGAUGGCGGGGGAUAACUACUGGAAACGGUAGCUAAUACCGCAUACCAUCAUAUAACCCCUAUGGGAUGAGCUAGUUGGUGAGGUAAUGGCUCACAAAGGCGAUGAUCCCUAACUGGUCUGAGAUGAUGAUCAGCCACACUGGGAUUGAGACACGGCCCAGAAACCUACGGAGGCAGCAGGGGGAAUUAUUGCACAAAGGGCGCAAGCCUGAUGCAGCCAUGCCGGGUGUAUGAAGAGGGCCCUAGGGUUGUAAAGUACUUUCAGUCGGGAGGCGUUACCGACAGAAGAAGCAGCGGCUAACUCCGUGCCAGAAGCGGCGGUAAUAC
RNAcentral lists this ribosomal RNA (403 nucleotides) under uncultured bacterium. Its description in RNAcentral is "partial 16S ribosomal RNA". It matches the Rfam family "Bacterial small subunit ribosomal RNA", at positions 30 to 526 of the family's 1533-position model. The record is from RNAcentral.